UGUGUGUCUGUGUGUGUGUGUGUGUCUGUGUGUGUGUAUCCUGCAGUACUCUGUACUCCUGCAGUGGCCAAAACGACUUUUAAGAAUGUGGAUAUUUGGGUCAUCUUUGGCGCCCCCUAGAACGUAAACCAUGGGGUGCAGCGGCAUGAUUUUUACAACUUUGAAUGGCCAUGGGGUGUAGAUUGGCCUGAGCAAAUUUGGUGUCAGUGGGACGAAAGCCUUAGGAGGAGUUAGCCACAUUCCAAUGUGUGCGAAUCGGCAAAAAAUGCAAAAUAGCCGUUUAGCCGUACAUUUUACAGAUACGCGCGCAUUGACUUUUUCGUAGAUCUUAUUCAGAUACACGUGUGUGUCAAAUUUUUUGUCAAUAUGACAAAGCGUACAGGCGUGAAUCUCAACAAUGUGUAUUUUCACCUUAGGGGACAAGAAAAAAUUGACUUUUUUGUCCUGCCAUGGGGGGGCGCUCUUUUGGGGAGUAAAAAUUCCUUCACAAAUGUGUUGAUGGCUGGACAUUGCAUCAUCCUAGAAAACUUGGAGGCCAGUGGGGACAAAAAUAAAAAGUUAUAAAACUUUUAAGAAUGUGGAUUUUUGGGUUAUUUUUGGCGCCCCCUAGAACCUAAACCAUGGGGUGCAGCAUCAUGAUUUGUACAACUUUGAAUGGCCAUGGAGUGUAGAUUGGCCUGAGCAAAUGUGGUGCCGGUGGAACGAAAGCCUUCGGAGGAGUUAGCGAAAUUCCAAUGUGUGCGGAUCGGCAAAAAAUGCGAAAUAACCCUUUAACCGUACAUUUGACAGAUACGCCCGCACUGACUUUCUUGUAGAUCUUAUUGAGAUACAUGUGUGUGUCAAUUUUUGUGUCAAUAUGACAAAGCGUACAGGCGUGACAGUCAAUAGUGUGAAUUUUCACCUUAGGGGGCGCUAUGGAGCCAUUUUGCAUUUGAUUGUUUGGGUGACUUCAGAAUAUCGAAUUUUUCACCAGGCCCGGUCGUCCUGCCAAAUUUCAUGAGUUUUCGCCAGUGGGAAGUGGGCCAUUUUCCAGUUUAAAGCGGAGGAAAAAUAAUAAUAAUAAUUAUAACUAGGACCCCGUUGGGGCACUGGCGGGCCCGAGCCGUGUCCCCCCCCCCCCCCCCAACGUGCUGCCUCCCCGUCCCAUUUGUGUCCUCUGGCCAUCGCCCUCUCUGGUAACGCCCAUCACUGCAAAGACCCUUUUCCUUCAUCGGCGUUUGCUGUUCUUCCUGCCAGUGCGUGUUGCUUUCACUUACACUUGCCACAGCCAGCCUCGUGAGUGCCUGGCCUAUUCGAUAUCACUGUCACCUACACAGGACAGUCAUUACCUUUCUAUUAAUACUUUGUUUUUUAAUUUCACAUUAAUUUCCAUAUUGUAUAAACGACUGGAAAAAACUUGAGCCCCUGCCCCUGUAUAAUCAUGUGCAUGUCUCUGUUCUAGCUCCAAGGUGAAUCUUCACUGCUCAUGUUCUCCUCAGAAGCACUCACCUCACUCCCCUCAGGUUACUGUACACAUGCACCAACUGCCUGCUUCAGGUUUGGAUGGAGCUUCAUGGUUGUCUUUUGGAGAAAUGACCAGUCAAGUUGUGUUUGAAAUUUGAUUUUUUUCAGGGGCAAAAGGAGCCUCUGCAUUCUUGUCAAAUAUGUAAAUAGCAUGUUUUUGCAGGUGCUAAAAACCAGACUCUGAGUGUGUGUGUGUGUGUGUGUGUGUGUGUGUGUGCGUGUGUGUGUGUCUGUGUGUGCGUUCAAGUCACAUGACAUAUUUAACCGGAUGUAGCUGCAAGACGGAGCCUCGUUGACUCUCCGUUUCAACUUAUCUCAAAAGUGAGGACCUCAACCUAUAUACCAGUUUUUAAAUUGUGUUGAUAGGCCAAAUAAAACCAGAGUUAUGAUAAAUUAUGUCCGCGAUACUUUUUUUCUGCUUAUUUUGAUCACGUUCGGCGCUCGAUCGCGCUGUAUGAGACAGGAAAACAUAGCAUGCAGACAUUAGAGACAGGUCUUACAGGCGGAAAAGGCUUGCCAAAAGAAAAAAAAAACACACCACAACAUCUCUCCUAUUGGUGGAAAACUUCACCACAACAACCAAUCCAAAAUUAUAUGGUGACUGAUUGACAAGGGGCGGGUGCUUACGUUCUUCCUGCAACAUGAGAAGGGAGGGAGGGACUCUCAGCAGGGAUGCAGUCUGGGACACGUAGUUGCAAACCUAGCGACUUUGUUGUUAGAUUCAAUGACUUUUCAGACCCCCUAACGACUUUUUUAGAAAGAAAGUGACUUUUAUCGACUUCUUCUGGAGUUUAGAGACUCUGACAUGAAGCAGGCUUUCCUUACUGAGGAGUUAGCAACGCUGCUAAGGGUGCAGAGCCACACAUGCGCUCCGAGCUCUGCAUGGGAGACUGAAGCUGACAGAGCUGCAGCAGUUAGCAGGUUUCACCCUCAGAGACCACCAGGGGUUCAUGUUGAGGCAUUUUCAGUUUUUUUUUUUUUUUUUGCCAUAGACACUGUCAGCACAAUCUGCAGUUACACUAACAAAAAUGCUGCAAAAAACAAAGAAUUAUGGAAAAAUUACACAUGGACUAACAUAGAGGAGGAUAUACACAAGUUUUUUACAUCAUGUUUUACAUCAUGCAUCAUUUACAUCAUGUUUUUUUGUAGUGGCAUAAAUAAAAAGUGACAUUUGUGAGACUAUACAGUGUUUUGUAAAUAAUUUUACAAAGAACACCUGGGCCAUUGCCUGCAUUUUGAUGUAAAUAGAGGUAAAUUACUAUGUUCUUUGUUAAAAAUUUGCAUAUGUUUUGAAGUUUACAAUUUUUAUUUGAAGUUUAAGUUUUAAAAACAGUUCAUCACACAUAUUUGUGGUUUUCACAGUAAAAACGUUACUUUUUUCCACUCGGAUUUUAUGUUUUGUGUGUGAAUUUGGGUCCAAUGUGUAAAUAUAGUAUGUCAAAAUGAUAAAAUAACUGUAAAUUGACACAGGUGAGGUUGUGCUGAAAAAAAUGAUACCAGGCAAGGCAAGGUAAAAAUUUUGUAAGAGGAAAUAUAAAGGUAAAAUCUAAAGUAGUCAAAAACGGCCAAUAGUGACUCACAGACUCCACAGACAAGUCCCUUUUGCGCCACUCAGUGGGCAAAACUACUUUGUCUACUGUAAUGUAUAUUUGGGUCAUCUUUGGCGCCCCCUAAAACGUAAACCGUGGGGUGCAGCGUCAUGAUUUUUACAACUUUGAAUGGCCAUGGAGUGUAGAUUGGCCUGAGCAAAUUUGGUGUCAGUGGGACGAAAGCCUUAGGAGGAGUUAGCGAAAUUCCAAUGUGUGCGAAUCGGCAAAAAAUGCAAAAUAGCCCUUUUACCGUACAUUAUACAGAUACGCGCUCUUUGACUUUUUCGUAGAUCUAAUUGAGAUACACAUGAUUGUCAAUUUUUGUGUCAUUUUGCCAAAGCGUACAGGCGUGACAGUCAACAAUGUGUAUUUUCACCUUAGGGGACAAGAAAAAAUGGACUUUUUUCUCCUGCCAUGGGGGGGCGCUCUUUUAGGGAGUAAAAAUUCCUUCACAAAUGUGUUGAUGGCUGGACAUUGCAUCAUCCUAGAAAACUUGGAGGCCAGUGAGGACAAAAAUAAAAAGUUAUAAGACUUUUAAAAAUGUGGAUUUUUGGGUUAUCUUUGGCGCCCCCUAGAACGUAAACCGUGGGGUGCAGCGUCAUGAUUUGAAUAACUUUUAAUGGCCAUGGGGUGUAGAUUGGCCUGAGCAAAUGUGGUGCCGGUGGAACGAAAGCCUUCGGAGGAGUUAGCGAAAUUCCAAUGUGUGCGAAUUGGCAAAAAAUGCGGAAUAACCCUUUAACCGUACAUUUGACAGAUACGCGCGCAUGGACUUUUUUGUAGAUCUUAUUGAGAUACAUGUGUGUGUCAAUUUUUGUGUCAUUUUGACAAAGCGUACAGGCGUGACACUCAACAAUGUGUAUUUUCACCUUAGGGGACAAGAAAAAAUGGACUUUUUUCUCCUGCCAUGGGGGGGCGCUCUUUUGGGGAGUAAAAAUUCCUUCACAAAUGUGUUGAUGGCUGGACAUUGCAUCAUCCUAGAAAACUUGGAGGCCAGUGAGGGCAAAAAUAAAAAGUUAUAAGACUUUUAAAUAUGUGGAUUUUAGGGUUAUCUUUGGCGCCCCCUAGAACCUAAACCGUGGGGUGCAGCGUCAUGAUUUGAAUAACUUUUAAUGGCCAUGGGGUGUAGAUUGGCCUGAGCAAAUUUGGUGUCAGUGGGACGAAAGCCUUAGGAGGAGUUAGCGAAAUUCCAAUGUGUGCGAAUCGGCAAAAAAUGCAAAAUAGCCCUUUUACCGUACAUUAUACAGAUACGCGCUCUUGACUUUUUCGUAGAUCUAAUUGAGAUACACAUGAUUGUCAAUUUUUGUGUCAUUUUGCCAAAGCGUACAGGCGUGACAGUCAACAAUGUGUAUUUUCACCUUAGGGGACAAGAAAAAAUGGACUUUUUUCUCCUGCCAUGGGGGGGCGCUCUUUUAGGGAGUAAAAAUUCCUUCACAAAUGUGUUGAUGGCUGGACAUUGCAUCAUCCUAGAAAACUUGGAGGCCAGUGAGGACAAAAAUAAAAAGUUAUAAGACUUUUAAAAAUGUGGAUUUUUGGGUUAUCUUUGGCGCCCCCUAGAACGUAAACCGUGGGGUGCAGCGUCAUGAUUUGAAUAACUUUUAAUGGCCAUGGGGUGUAGAUUGGCCUGAGCAAAUGUGGUGCCGGUGGAACGAAAGCCUUCGGAGGAGUUAGCGAAAUUCCAAUGUGUGCGAAUUGGCAAAAAAUGCGGAAUAACCCUUUAACCGUACAUUUGACAGAUACGCGCGCAUGGACUUUUUUGUAGAUCUUAUUGAGAUACAUGUGUGUGUCAAUUUUUGUGUCAUUUUGACAAAGCGUACAGGCGUGACACUCAACAAUGUGUAUUUUCACCUUAGGGGACAAGAAAAAAUGGACUUUUUUCUCCUGCCAUGGGGGGCGCUCUUUUGGGGAGUAAAAAUUCCUUCACAAAUGUGUUGAUGGCUGGACAUUGCAUCAUCCUAGAAAACUUGGAGGCCAGUGAGGGCAAAAAUAAAAAGUUAUAAGACUUUUAAAUAUGUGGAUUUUAGGGUUAUCUUUGGCGCCCCCUAGAACCUAAACCGUGGGGUGCAGCGUCAUGAUUUGAAUAACUUUUAAUGGCCAUGGGGUGUAGAUUGGCCUGAGCAAAUGUGGUGCCGGUGGAACGAAAGCCUUCGGAGGAGUUAGCGAAAUUCCAAUGUGUGCGGAUCGGCAAAAAAUGCGAAAUAACCCUUUAAUUGUACAUUUGACAGAUACGCCCGCACUGACUUUUUUGUAGAUCUUAUUGAGAUACAUGUGUGUGUCAAAUUUUGUGUCAUUUUGACAAAGCGUACAGGCGUGACACUCAAUAGUGUGAAUUUUCACCUUAGGGGGCGCUAUGGAGCCAUUUUGCAUUUUCUUGUUUGGGCGACUUCGGAAUAUCAAAUUUUUCACCAGGCCCGGUCGUCCUGCCAAAUUUCAUGAGUUUUUGCCAGUGGGAAGUGGGCCAUUUUCCAGUUCAAAGGGGAGGAAAAAGAAAAAACAGAAGAAAAACCACUUGGGGAAUAAUAGGGCUCUCGCAGCUGCUUAGCAGCAACGCUCGGGCCCUAACUAGGGCCCCGUUGGGGCACUGGCGGGCCCGAGCCGUGUCGCCCCCCCCCCCCCCCCCCCGGGCUGCCUCCCCGUCCCAUUCACGUCCUCUGGCCAUCGCCCUCUCUGGUAGCGCCCAUCACUGCAAAGACCCUUUUCCUUUAUCGGUGUUUGCUGUUCUUCCUGCCAGUGCGUGUUGCUUUCACUUACAUUUGCCACAGCCAGCCUCGUGAGUGCCUAGCCUAUUGGAUAUCACUGUCACCUACACAGGACAGUCAUUACCUUUCUAUUAAUACUUUGUUUUUUAAUUUCACAUUAAUUUCCAUAUUGUAUAAACGACUGGAAAAAACUUGAGCCCCUGCCCCUGUGUAAUCAUGUGCACGUCCCUGUUCUAUCUCCAAGGUGAAUCUUCACUGCUCAUGUUCUCCUCAGAAGCAGUCACCUCAGUCCCCUCAGGUUACUGUACACAUGCACCAACUGCCUGCUUCAGGUUUGGAUGGAGCUUCAUGGUUGUCUUUUGGAGAAAUGAGCAGUCAAGUUGUGUUUGAAAUUUGAUUUUUUUCAGGGGCAAAAGGAAGCCCCUGCAUUCUUGUCAAAUAUGUAAAUAGCAUGUUUUUGCAGGUGCUAAAAAACAGACUCUGUGUGUGUGUGUGUGUGUGUGUGUGUGUGUAUGUGUGUGUUUGUGUAUCCUAAGCUCUGAAGAGACAGUAGGAGCAGCAGAACAAAGUGUAUUUGUAGAAAAGCCGUAAGAGCUAUUGAAACGCCGUUUUUGCAGGUUGAAAGGUUCACGUCUCCACCAAAGGUCAGAGGUCAAAUAACAUUUAAAUGUCAAACUGUGACGUCACAGUCGAGGUCCAAAGAUAGUGUGCACACCUGUCUUUGGUCAUUUCCCAUUAUAAUGAAUGGGAGGCGCAGUUUCUACCGAAACGCUGGCUGCAGACAAACUACAUGUCCUAUUUGAAAAAAGUCUGGACCAUGAGGGCACAAACACAGCUAGGAAAUAUCCAAACGGCAAGUUGCUCCUCCUUUCGCUUUUGCCGAGAGAGCAGUGCGUUUGAGCCAUUGAACUAUGAACAGGAAAAACUUGACUUUAUUCUCCUGCCAUGGGGGGGCGCUCUUUUAACGAGAAAAAAUUCCUUCACAAAUGUGUUGAUGGCUGGACAUUGCAUCAUCCUAGAAAACAUGGAGUCCAGUGAGGACAAAAAUGAAAUGUUCUAACACUUUUAAGAAUAUGGAUAUUUGGGUCAUUUUUGGCGCCCCCUAGAACGUAAACCGUGGGGUGCAGCGUCAUGAUUUUUACAACUUUGAAUGGCCAUGGGGUGUAGAUUGGCCUGAAAUAUUUGGUGUCACUGGGACGAAAGCCUUAGGAGGAGUUAGCUACAUUCCAAUGUGUGUGAAUCGGCAAAAAAUUCGAAAUAGCCCUUUAACCGUACAUUUUACAGAUAUUUGUGCAUUGACUUUUUCGUAGAUCUUAUUGAGAUACACGUGAUUGUCAAAUUUUGUGUCAAUAUGACAAAGCGUACAGGCGUGAAUCUCAACAAUAUGUAUUUUCACCUUAGGGGACAAGAAAAAAUGGACUUUUUUCUCCUGCCAUGGGGGGGCGCUCUGUUGGGGAGUAAAAAUUCCUUCACAAAUGUGUUGAUGGCUGGACAUUGCAUCAUCCUAGAAAACUUGGAGGCCAGUGAGCACAAAAAUAAAAAGUUAUAAGACUUUUAAAUAUGUGGAUUUUAGGGUUAUCUUUGGCGCCCCCUAGAACAUAAACCGUGGGGUGCAGCGUCAUGAUUUGUACAACUUUUAAUGGCCAUGGGGUGUAGAUUGGCCUGAGCAAAUGUGGUGCCGGUGGAACGAAAGCCUUCGGAGGAGUUAGCGAAAUUCCAAUGUGUGCGGAUCGGCAAAAAAUGCGAAAUAGCCCUUUAACCGUACAUUUGACAGAUACGCCCGCACUGACUUUUUUGUAGAUCUUAUUGAGAUACACAUGUGUGUCAAAUUUUGUGUCAUUUUGACAAAGCGUACAGGCGUCAGGUGAGUUUUCACCAUAGGGGGCGCUAUGGAGCCAUUUUUCAUUUUUUUGUUUGGACGACUUCAGAAUAUCAAAUUUUUCACCAGGCCCGGUCGUCCUGCCAAAUUUCCUGAGUUUUCGCCAGUGGGAAGUGGGCCAUUUUCCAGUUUAAAGCGGAGGAAAAAUAACGAAAGAAGAAUCCAUCAGGAACAAGAGGGCUCUCGCAGCUGCUUAGCAGCUACGCUCGGGCCCUAACUAGGGCCCCGUUGGGGCACUGGCAAGCCCGAGCCGUGUUGCGCCGCCCCCAGCGCGACCGCCUACCCCUCCCGAUCGCGUCACACUCAAGGUCCAAAGAUGGUGUGCGCACUUGUCUGUGGUCAUUUACCAUUAUAAUGAAUGGGAGGCGCAGUUUCUACCAAAAUGCUCGCUGCAGACAAACUCCAUGUCCUUUUUGAAAAAAGUCUGGACCAUGAGUGAGGGCAUAAACACAACUAGUAUAUAUCCAAAUGGCAAGUUGCUCCUCCUUUCGGUUUUGCCGAGAGAGCGAUGCGUUUGAGCCAUUGAGCGAUGGGCAGGAAAAACUUGACUUUUUCUCCUGCCAUGGGGGGGCGCUCUUUUGGGGAGAAAAAAUUCCUUCACAAAUGUGUUGAUGGCUGGACAUUGCAUCAUCCUAGAAAACUUGGAGGCCAGUGAGGACAAAAAUAAAAAGUUAUAAGACUUUUAAAAAUGUGGAUAUUUGGGUCCUCUUUGGCGCCCCCUAGAACGUAAACCGUGGGGUGCAGCGUCAUGAUUUGUACAACUUUGAAUGGCCAUGGGGUGUAGAUUGACCUGAGCAAAUUUGAAGCCGAUGGGACAAAAGCUUUAGGAGGAGUUAGCCACAUUCCAAUGUGUGCGAAUCGGCAAAAAAUGCUAAAAUAGCCCUUUAACCGUACAUUGAACAGAUACGCUCGCAUGACUUUUUCGUAGAUCUUAUUGAGAUACAUGUGUGUGUCAAAUUUUGUGUCAUUUUGACAAAGCGUAAAGGCGUGACAGUCAACAAUGUGUAUUUUCGCCUUAGGAGACAAGAAAAAAUGGACUUUUUUCUCCUGCCAUGGGGGGGCGCUCUUUUGGCGAGUAAAAAUUCCUUCACAAAUGUGUUGAUGGCUGGACAUUGCAUCAUCCUAGAAAACUUGGAGGCCAGUGAGGACAAAAAUAAAAAGUUAUAAGACUUUGAAAUAUGUGGAUUUUAGGGUCCUCUUUGGCGCCCCCUAGAACGUAAACCGUGGGGUGCAGCGUCAUGAUUUUUACAACUUUGAAUGGCCAUGGGGUGUAGAUUGGCCUGAGCAAAUUUGGUUUCAGUGGGACGAAAGCCUUAGGAGGAGUUAGCCACAUUCCAAUGUGUGCGAAUCGGCAAAAAAUGCAAAAUAGCCGUUUAGCCGUACAUUUUACAGAUACGCGCUCUUUGACUUUUUCGUAGAUCUUAUUGAGAUACACGUGUGUGUCAAAUUUUUUGUCAAUAUGACAAAGCGUACAGGCGUGAAUCUCAACAAUGUGUAUUUUCACCUUAGGGGACAAGAAAAAAUUGACUUUUUUGUCCUGCCAUGGGGGGGCGCUCUUUUGGGGAGUAAAAAUUCCUUCACAAAUGUGUUGAUGGCUGGACAUUGCAUCAUACUAGAAAACUUGGAGGCCAGUGGGGACAAAAAUAAAAAGUUAUAAAACUUUUAAGAAUGUGGAUUUUUGGGUUAUUUUUGGCGCCCCCUAGAACCUAAACCAUGGGGUGCAGCAUCAUGAUUUGUACAACUUUGAAUGGCCAUGGAGUGUAGAUUGGCCUGAGCAAAUGUGGUGCCGGUGGAACGAAAGCCUUCGGAGGAGUUAGCGAAAUUCCAAUGUGUGCGGAUCGGCAAAAAAUGCGAAAUAACCCUUUAACCGUACAUUUGACAGAUACGCCCGCACUGACUUUCUUGUAGAUCUUAUUGAGAUACAUGUGUGUGUCAAUUUUUGUGUCAAUAUGACAAAGCGUACAGGCGUGACAGUCAAUAGUGUGAAUUUUCACCUUAGGGGGCGCUAUGGAGCCAUUUUGCAUUUUAUUGUUUGGGUGACUUCAGAAUAUCGAAUUUUUCACCAGGCCCGGUCGUCCUGCCAAAUUUCAUGAGUUUUCGCCAGUGGGAAGUGGGCCAUUUUCCAGUUUAAAGCGGAGGAAAAAUAAUAACUAGGACCCCGUUGGGGCACUGGCGGGCCCGAGCCGUGUCGCGUAUCCCCCCCCCCCCCCCCAACAUGCUGCCUCCCCGUCCCAUUUGUGUCCUCUGGCCAUCGCCCUCUCUGUUAACGCCCAUCACUGCAAAGACCCUUUUCCUUCAUCGGCGUUUGCUGUUCUUCCUGCCAGUGCGUGUUGCUUUCACUUACACUUGCCACAGCCAGCCUCGUGAGUGCCUAGCCUAUUGGAUAUCACUGUCACCUACACAGGACAGUCAUUACCUUUCUAUUAAUACUUUGUGUUUUAAUUUCACAUUAAUUUCCAUAUUGUAUAAACGACUGGAAAAAACUUGAGCCCCUGCCCCUGUAUAAUCAUGUGCAUGUCUCUGUUCUAGCUCCAAGGUGAAUCUUCACUGCUCAUGUUCUCCUCAGAAGCACUCACCUCACUCCCCUCAGGUUACUGUACACAUGCACCAACUGCCUGCUUCAGGUUUGGAUGGAGCUUCAUGGUUGUCUUUUGGAGAAAUGACCAGUCAAGUUGUGUUUGAAAUUUGAUUUUUUUCAGGGGCAAAAGGAGCCUCUGCAUUCUUGUCAAAUAUGUAAAUAGCAUGUUUUUGCAGGUGCUAAAAACCAGACUCUGAGUGUGUGUGUGUGUGUGUGUGUGUGUGCGUGUGUGUCUGCGUGUGCGUUCAAGUCACAUGACAUAUUUAACCGGAUGUAGCUGCAAGACGGAGCCUCGUUGACUCUCCGUUUCAACUUAUCUCAAAAGUGAGGACCUCAACCUAUAUACCAGUUUUUAAAUUGUGUUGAUAGGCCAAAUAAAACCAGAGUUAUGAUAAAUUAUGUCCGCGAUACUUUUUUUCUGCUUAUUUUGAUCACGUUCGGCGCUCGAUCGCGCUGUAUGAGACAGGAAAACAUAGCAUGCAGACAUUAGCGACAGGUCUUACAGGCGGAAAAGGCUUGCCAAAAGAAAAAAAAAACACACCACAACAUCUCUCCUAUUGGUGGAAAACUUCACCACAACAACCAAUCCAAAAUUAUAUGGUGACUGAUUGACAAGGGGCGGGCGCUUACGUUCUUCCUGCAACAUGAGAAGCGAGGAGGGACUCUCAGCAGGGAUGCAGUCUGGGACACGUAGUUGCAAACCUAGCGACUUUGUUGUUAGAUUCAAUGACUUUUCAGACCCCCUAACGACUUUUUUUUAGAAAGAAAGGGACUUUUAUCGACUUCUUCUGGAGUUUAGAGACUCUGACAUGAAGCAGGCUUUCCUUACUGAGGAGUUAGCAACGCUGCUAAGGGUGCAGAGCCACACAUGCGCUCAGAGCUCUGCAUGGGAGACUGAAGCUGACAGAGCUGCAGCAGUUAGCAGGUUUCACCCUCAGAGACCACCAGGGGUUCAUGUUGAGGCAUUUUAAUUUUUUUUUUUUUGUGCCAUAGACACUGUCAGCACAAUCUGCAGUUACACUAACAAAAAUGCUGCAAAAAACAAAGAAUUAUGGAAAAAUUACACAUGGACUGACAUAGAGGAGGAUCUACACAAGUUUUUUACAUCAUGUUUUACAUCAUGCAUCAUUUACAUCAUGUUUUUUUGUAGUGGCAUAAAUAAAAAGUGACAUUUGUGAGACUAUACAGUGUUUUGUAAAUAAUUUUACAAAGAACGCCUGGGCCAUUGCCUGCAUUUUGAUGUAAAUAGAGGUAAAUAACUAUGUUCUUUGUUAAAAAUUUGCAUAUGUUUUGAAGUUUACAAUUUUUAUUUGAAGUUUAAGUUUUAAAAACAGUUCAUCACACAUAUUUGUGGUUUAAUUUCACAUUAAUUUCCAUAUUGUAUAAAUGACUGGAAAAAACUUGAGCCCCUGCCCCUGUAUAAUCAUGUGCACGUCCCUGUUCUAGCUCCAAGGUGAAUCUUCACUGCUCAUGUUCUCCUCAGAAAUAGUCACCUCACUCCCCUCAGGUUACUGUACACAUGCACCAACUAUCUGCUUCAGGUUUGAAAUGGAGCUUCAUGGCUGUCUUUUGGAGAAAUGAACAGUCAAGUUGUGUUUGAAAUUUGAUUUUUUUCAGGGGCAAAAGGAAGCCUCUGCAUUCUUGUCAAAUAUGUAAACAGCAUGUUUUUGCAGGUGCUAAAAAACAGACUCUGAGUGUGUGUGUGUGUCUGUGUGUGUGUGUGUGUGUGUGUGUGUGUGUAUGUUGGCGUGUGUGUAUAUGUGUGUGUAUCCUGCAGUACUCUGUACUCCUGCAGUGGCCAAAAAGACUUUUAAGAAUGUGGAUUUUUGGGUCAUCUUUGGCGCCCCCUAGAACUGCAGUACUCUGUACUCCUGCAGUGGCCAAAAUGACUUUUAAGAAUGUGGAUUUUUGGGUCAUCUUUGGCGCCCCCUAGAACGUAAACCGUGGGGUGCAGCGUCAUGAUUUUUACAACUUUGAAUGGGCAUGGGGUGUAGAUUGGCCUGAGCAAAUUUGGUAUCGGUGGGACGAAAGCCUUAGGAGGAGAUAGCCACAUUCCAAUGUGUGCGAAUCAGCAAAAAAUGCAAAAUAGCCCUUUAACCGUACAUUAUACAGAUACGCGCUCUUUGACUUUUUUGUAGAUCUAAUUGAGAUACACAUGAUUGUCAAUUUUUGUGUCAAUAUGACAAAGCGUUUAGGCGUGACACUCAACAAUGUGUAUUUUCAUGUAAGGGGACAAGAAAAAAUGGACUUUUUUCUCCUACCAUGGGGGGGCGCUCUUUUGGGGAGUAAAAAUUCCUUCACAAAUGUGUUGAUGGCUGGACAUUGCAUCAUCCUAGAAAACUUGGAGGCCAGUGAGGACAAAAAUAAAAAGUUAUAAAACAUUUAAGAAUGUGGAUUUUUGGGUUAUUUUUGGCGCCCCCUAGAACCUAAACCAUGGGGUGCAGCAUCAUGAUUUGAAUAACUUUUAAUGGGCAUGGGGUGUAGAUUGGCCUGAGCAAAUGUGGUGCCGGUGGAACGAAAGCCUUCGGAGGAGUUAGCGAAAUUCCAAUGUGUGCGUAUCGGCAAAAAAAGCGGAAUAACCCUUUAACUGUACAUUUGACAGAUACGCGCGCAUGGACUUUUUUGUAGAUCUUAUUGAGUUACAUGUGUGUGUCAAUUUUUGUGUCAUUUUGCCAAAGCGUACAGGUGUUACACUCAACAAUGUGUAUUUUCACCUUAGGGGACAAGAAAAAAUGGACUUUUUUCUCCUGCCAUGGGGGGGCGCUCUUUUGGGGAGUAAAAAUUCCUUCACAAAUGUGUUGAUGGCUGGACAUUGCAUCAUCCUAGAAAACUUGGAGGCCAGUGAGGGCAAAAAUAAAAAGUUAUAAGACUUUUAAAUAUGUGGAUCUUAGGGUUAUCUUUGGCGCCCCCUAGAACCUAAACCGUGGGGUGCAGCGUCAUGAUUUGAAUAACUUUUAAUGGCCAUGGGGUGUAGAUUGGCCUGAGCAAAUGUGGUGCCGGUGGAACGAAAGCCUUCGGAGGAGUUAGCGAAAUUCCAAUGUGUGCGGAUCGGCACAAAAUGCGAAAUAACCCUUUAACCGUAAUUUUGACAGAUACGGCCGCACUGACUUUUUUGUAGAUCUUAUUGAGAUACAUAUGUGUGUCAAUUUUUGUGUCAAUAUGACAAAGCGUACAGGCGUGACAGUCAAUAGUGUGAAUUUCCACCUUAGGGGGCGCUAUGGAGCCAUUUUGCAUUUUAUUGUUUGGGCGACUUCAGAAUAUCGAAUUUUUCACCAGGCCCGGUCGUCCUGCCAAAUUUCAUGAGUUUUCGCCAGUGGGAAGUGGGCCAUUUUCCAGUUCAAAGGGGAGGAAAAAGAAGAAAGAAAGAAAGAAAGAAAGAACUAGGGCCCCGUUGGGGCACUGGCGGGCCCGAGCUGUGUCGCGCCCCCCCCCCCAACGCGCUGCCUCCCCAUCCCAUUCGCAUCCUCUGGCCAUCGUCCUCUCUGGUAACGCCCAUCACUGCAAAGACCCUUUUCCUUCAUCGGCGUUUGCUGUUCUUCCUGCCAGUGCGUGUUGCUUUCACUUACACUUGCCACAGCCAGCCUCGUGAGUGCCUAGCCUAUUGGAUAUCACUGUCACCUACACAGGACAGUCAUUACCUUUCUAUUAAUACUUUGUUUUUUAAUUUCACAUUAAUUUCCAUAUUGUAUAAACAACUGGAAAAAACUUGAGCCCCUGCCCCUGUAUAAUCAUGUGCACGUCCCUGUUCUCGCUCCAAGGUGAAUCUUCACUGCUCAUGUUCUCCUCAGAAGCAGUCACCUCACUCCCCUCAGGUUACUGUACACAUGCACCAACUGCCUGCUUCAGGUUUGGAUGGAGCUUCAUGGUUGUCUUUUGGAGAAAUGACCAGUCAAGUUGUGUUUGAAAUUUGAUUUUUUUCAGGGGCAAAAGGAGCCUCUGCAUUCUUGUCAAAUAUGUAAAUAGCAUGUUUUUGCAGGUGCUAAAAACCAGACUCUGACUGUGUAUGUGUGUGUGUGUGUGCGUGUGUGUGUCUGUGUGUGUGUGUGUGCGUUCAAGUCACAUGACAUAUUUAACCGGAUGUAGCUGCAAGACGGAGCCUCGUUGACUCUCCGUUUCAACUUAUCUCAAAAGUGAGGACCUCAACCUAUAUACCAGUUUUUAAAUUGUGUUGAUAGGCCAAAUAAAACCAGAGUUAUGAUAAAUUAUGUCCGCGAUACUUUUUUUCUGCUUCUUUUGAUCACGUUCGGCGCUCGAUCGCGCUGUAUGAGACAGGAAAACAUAGCAUGCAGACAUUAGCAACAGCUCUUACAGGCGGAAAAGGCUUGCCAAAAGAAAAAAAAAAACACACCACAACAUCUCUCCUAUUGGUGGAAAACUUCACCACAACAACCAAUCCAAAAUUAUAUGGUGACUGAUUGACAAGGGGCGGGCGCUUACGUUCUUCCUGCAACAUGAGAAGGGAGGGAGGGACUCUCAGCAGGGAUGCAGUCUGGGACACGUAGUUGCAAACCUAGCGACUUUGUUGUUAGAUUCAAUGACUUUUCAGACCCCCUAACGACUUUUUUUUAGAAAGAAAGGGACUUUUAUCGACUUCUUCUGGAGUUUAGAGACUCUGACAUAGAGCAGGCUUUCCUUACUGAGGAGUUAGCAACGCUGCUAAGGGUGCAGAGCCACACAUGCGCUCCGAGCUCUGCAUGGGAGACUGAAGCUGACAGAGCUGCAGCAGUUAGCAGGUUUCACCCUCAGAGACCACCAGAGGUUCAUGUUGAGGCAUUUUAAUUUUUUUUUUUUUUUUUUGCCAUAGACACUGUCAGCACAAUCUGCAGUUACACUAACAGAAAUGCUGCAAAAAACAAAGAAUUAUGAAAAAAUUACACAUGGACUGACAUAGAGGAGGAUCUACACAAGUUUUUUACAUCAUGUUUUACAUCAUGCAUCAUUUACAUCAUGUUUUUUUGUAGUGGCAUAAAUAAAAAGUGACAUUUGUGAGACUAUACAGUGUUUUGUAAAUUAUUUUACAAAGAACGCCUGGGCCAUUGCCUGCAUUUUGAUGUAAAUAGAGGUAAAUUACUAUGUUCUUUGUUAAAAAUUUGCAUAUGUUUUGAAGUUUACAAUUUUUAUUUGAAGUUUAAGUUUUAAAAACAGUUCAUCACACAUAUUUGUGGUUUAAUUUCACAUUAAUUUCCAUAUUGUAUAAAUGACUGGAAAAAACUUGAGCCCCUGCCCCUGUAUAAUCAUGUGCACGUCCCUGUUCUAGCUCCAAGGUGAAUCUUCACUGCUCAUGUUCUCCUCAGAAAUAGUCACCUCACUCCCCUCAGGUUACUGUACACAUGCACCAACUAUCUGCUUCAGGUUUGGAUGGAGCUUCAUGGUUGUCUUUUGGAGAAAUGAACAGUCAAGUUGUGUUUGAAAUUUGAUUUUUUUCAGGGGCAAAAGGAGCCUCUGCAUUCUUGUCAAAUAUGUAAAUAGCAUGUUUUUGCAGGUGCUAAAAAACAGACUCUGAGUGUGUGUGUGUGUGUGUGUGUGUGUGUGUGUGUGUGUGUGUGUGUGUGUGUGUGUGUGUAUCCUGCAGUACUCUGUACUCCUGCAGUGGCCAAAAAGACUUUUAAGAAUGUGGAUUUUUGGGUCAUCUUUGGCGCCCCCUAGAACUGCAGUACUCUGUACUCCUGCAGUGGCCAAAAUGACUUUUAAGAAUGUGGAUUUUUGGGUCAUCUUUGGCGCCCCCUAGAACGUAAACCGUGGGGUGCAGCGUCAUGAUUUUUACAACUUUGAAUGGGCAUGGGGUGUAGAUUGCCCUGAGCAAAUUUGGUAUCGGUGGGACGAAAGCCUUAGGAGGAGAUAGCCACAUUCCAAUGUGUGCGAAUCGGCAAAAAAUGCGAAAUAGUCCUUUAACCGUACAUUAUACAGAUACGCGCUUUUUGACUUUUUCGUAGAUCUAAUUGAGAUACACAUGAUUGUCAAUUUUUGUGUCAAUAUGACAAAGCGUUCAGGCGUGACACUCAACAAUGUGUAUUUUCAUGUUAGGGGACAAGAAAAAAUGGACUUUUUUCUCCUGCCAUGGGGGGGCGCUCUUUUGGGGAGUAAAAAUUCCUUCACAAAUGUGUUGAUGGCUGGACAUUGCAUCAUCCUAGAAAACUUGGAGGUCAGUGAGGACAAAAAUAAAAAGUUAUAAGACUUUUAAAUAUGUGGAUUUUAGGGUUAUCUUUGGCGCCCCCUAGAACGUAAACCGUGGGGUGCAGCGUCAUGAUUUGUACAACUUUUAAUGGCCAUGGGGUGUAGAUUGGCCUGAGCAAAUUUGGUGCCGGUGGAACGAAAGCCUUCGGAGGAGUUAGCGAAAUUCCAAUGUGUGCGGAUCGGCAAAAAAUGCGAAAUAGCCCUUUAACGGUACAUUUGACAGAUACGCCCGCGCUGACUUUUUUGUAGAUCUUAUUGGGAUACACAUGUGUGUCAAAUUUUGUGUCAUUUUGACAAAGCGUACAGGCGUCAGGUGAGUUUUCACCAUAGGGGGCGCUAUGGAGCCAUUUUUCAUUUUUUUGUUUGGGCGACUUCAGAAUAUCGAAUUUUUCACCAGGCCCGGUCGUCCUGCCAAAUUUCCUGAGUUUUCGCCAGUGGGAAGUGGGCCAUUUUCCAGUUUAAAGCGGAGGAAAAAUAACGAAAGAAGAAUCCAUCAGGAACAAGAGGGCUCUCGCAGCUGCUUAGCAGCUACGCUCGGGCCCUAAAGAAAGAAACAAAGAAAAACCACUUGGGGAAUAAUAGGGCCUACGCCCGGCUGCUCUGCAGCUGGCUCGGGCCCUAACUAGGACCCCGUUGGGGCACUGGCGGGCCCGAGCCGUGUCGCGUCCCCCCCCCCAACGCGCUGCCUCCCCGUCCCAUUUGUGUCCUCUGGCCAUCGCCCUCUCUGGUAACGCCCAUCACUGCAAAGACCCUUUUCCUUCAUCGGCGUUUGCUGUUCUUCCUGCCAGUGCGUGUUGCUUUCACUUACACUUGCCACAGCCAGCCUCGUGAGUGCCUAGCCUAUUGGAUAUCACUGUCACCUACACAGGACAGUCAUUACCUUUCUAUUAAUACUUUGUUUUUUAAUUUCACAUUAAUUUCCAUAUUGUAUAAAUGACUGGAAAAAACUUGAGCCCCUGCCCCUGUAUAAUCAUGUGCACGUCCCUGUUCUAGCUCCAAGGUGAAUCUUCACUGCUCAUGUUCUCCUCAGAAAUAGUCACCUCACUCCCCUCAGGUUACUGUACACAUGCACCAACUAUCUGCUUCAGGUUUGAAAUGGAGCUUCAUGGUUGUCUUUUGGAGAAAUGAACAGUCAAGUUGUGUUUGAAAUUUGAUUUUUUUCAGGGGCAAAAGGAAGCCUCUGCAUUCUUGUCAAAUAUGUAAACAGCAUGUUUUUGCAGGUGCUAAAAAACAGACUCUGAGUGUGUGUGUGUGUCUGUGUGUGUGUGUGUGUGUGUGUGUGUGUGUAUGUUGGCGUGUGUGUAUCCUGCAGUACUCUGUACUCCUGCAGUGGCCAAAAAGACUUUUAAGAAUGUGGAUUUUUGGGUCAUCUUUGGCGCCCCCUAGAACUGCAGUACUCUGUACUCCUGCAGUGGCCAAAAUGACUUUUAAGAAUGUGGAUUUUUGGGUCAUCUUUGGCGCCCCCUAGAACGUAAACCGUGGGGUGCAGCGUCAUGAUUUUUACAACUUUGAACGGGCAUGGGGUGUAGAUUGCCCUGAGCAAAUUUGGUGUCGGUGGGACGAAAGCCUUAGGAGGAGAUAGCCACAUUCCAAUGUGUGCGAAUCGGCAAAAAAUGCAAAAUAGCCCUUUAACCGUACAUUAUACAGAUACGCGCUCUUUGACUUUUUCGUAGAUCUAAUUGAGAUACACAUGAUUGUCAAUUUUUGUGUCAAUAUGACAAAGCGUUCAGGCGUGACACUCAACAAUGUGUAUUUUUAUGUAAGGGGACAAGAAAAAAUUGAUUUUUUUCUCCUGCCAUGGGGGGGCGCUCUUUUGGGGAGUAAAAAUUCCUUCACAAAUGUGUUGAUGGCUGGACAUUGCAUCAUCCUAGAAAACUUGGAGGCCAGUGAGGACAAAAAUAAAAAGUUAUAAAACAUUUAAGAAUGUGGAUUUUUGGGUUAUUUUUGGCGCCCCCUAGAACCUAAACCAUGGGGUGCAGCAUCAUGAUUUGAAUAACUUUUAAUGGCCAUGGGGUGUAGAUUGGCCUGAGCAAAUGUGGUGCCGGUGGAACGAAAGCCUUCGGAGGAGUUAGCGAAAUUCCAAUGUGUGCGUAUCGGCAAAAAAUGCGGAAUAACCCUUUAACUGUACAUUUGACAGAUACGCGCUCAUUGACUUUUUUGUAGAUCUUAUUGAGUUACAUGUGUGUGUCAAUUUUUGUGUCAUUUUGACAAAGCGUAUAGGCGUGACACUCAACAAUGUGUAUUUUCACCUUAGGGGACAAGAAAAAAUGGACUUUUUUCUCCUGCCAUGGGGGGGCGCUCUUUUGGGGAGUAAAAAUUCCUUCACAAAUGUGUUGAUGGCUGGACAUUGCAUCAUCCUAGAAAACUUGGAGGCCAGUGAGGACAAAAAUAAAAAGUUAUAAGACUUUUAAAUAUGUGGAUUUUAGUGUUAUCUUUGGCGCCCCCUAGAACCUAAACCUUGGGGUGCAGCGUCAUGAUUUUGAUAACUUUUAAUGGCCACGGGGUGUAGAUUGGCCUGAGCAAAUGUGGUGCCGGUGGAACGAAAGCCUUCGGAGGAGUUAGCGAAAUUCCAAUGUGUGCGGAUCGGCAAAAAAUGCGAAAUAACCCUUUAACCGUACAUUUGACAGAUACGCCCGCACUGACUUUUUUGUAGAUCUUAUUGAGAUACAUAUGUGUGUCAAUUUUUGUGUCAAUAUGACAAAGCGUACAGGCGUGACAGUCAAUAGUGUGAAUUUCCACCUUAGGGGGCGCUAUGGAGCCAUUUUGCAUUUUAUUGUUUGGGCGACUUCAGAAUAUCGAAUUUUUCACCAGGCCCGGUCGUCCUGCCAAAUUUCAUGAGUUUUCGCCAGUGGGAAGUGGGCCAUUUUCCAGUUCAAAGGGGAGGAAAAAGAAGAAAGAAAGAACUAGGACCCCGUUGGGGCACUGGCGGGCCCGAGCCGUGUCGCGUCCCCCCCCCCAACGUGCUGCCUCCCCGUCCCAUUUGUGUCCUCUGGCCAUCGCCCUCUCUGGUAACGCCCAUCACUGCAAAGACUCUUUUCCUUCAUCGGCGUUUGCUGUUCUUCCUGCCAGUGCGUGUUGCUUUCACUUACACUUGCCACAGCCAGCCUCGUGAGUGCCUAGCCUAUUGGAUAUCACUGUCACCUACACAGGACAGUCAUUACCUUUCUAUUAAUACUUUGUGUUUUAAUUUCACAUUAAUUUCCAUAUUGUAUAAACGACUGGAAAAAACUUGAGCCCCUGCCCCUGUAUAAUCAUGUGCAUGUCUCUGUUCUAGCUCCAAGGUGAAUCUUCACUGCUCAUGUUCUCCUCAGAAGCACUCACCUCACUCCCCUCAGGUUACUGUACACAUGCACCAACUGCCUGCUUCAGGUUUGGAUGGAGCUUCAUGGUUGUCUUUUGGAGAAAUGACCAGUCAAGUUGUGUUUGAAAUUUGAUUUUUUUCAGGGGCAAAAGGAGCCUCUGCAUUCUUGUCAAAUAUGUAAAUAGCAUGUUUUUGCAGGUGCUAAAAACCAGACUCUGAGUGUGCGUGUGUGUGUGUCUGUGUGUGCGUUCAAGUCACAUGACAUAUUUAACCGGAUGUAGCUGCAAGACGGAGCCUCGUUGACUCUCCGUUUCAACUUAUCUCAAAAGUGAGGACCUCAACCUAUAUACCAGUUUUUAAAUUGUGUUGAUAGGCCAAAUAAAACCAGAGUUAUGAUAAAUUAUGUCCGCGAUACUUUUUUUCUGCUUAUUUUGAUCACGUUCGGCGCUCGAUCGCGCUGUAUGAGACAGGAAAACAUAGCAUGCAGACAUUAGCGACAGGUCUUACAGGCGGAAAAGGCUUGCCAAAGGAAAAAAAAACACACCACAACAUCUCUCCUAUUGGUGGAAAACUUCACCACAACAACCAAUCCAAAAUUAUAUGGUGACUGAUUGACAAGGGGCGGGAACUUACGUUCUUCCUGCAAUAUGAGAAGGGAGGGAGGGACUCUCAGCAGGGAUGCAGUCUGGGACACGUAGUUGCAAACCUAGCGACUUUGUUGUUAGAUUCAAUGACUUUUCAGACCCCCUAACGACUUUUUUUUAGAAAGAAAGUGACUUUUAUCGACUUCUUCUGGAGUUUAGAGACUCUGACAUGAAGCAGGCUUUCCUUACUGAGGAGUUAGCAACACUGCUAAGGGUGCAGAGCCACACAUGCGCUCCGAGCUCUGCAUGGGAGACUGAAGCUGACAGAGCUGCAGCAGUUAGCAGGUUUCACCCUCAGAGACCACCAGGGGUUCAUGUUGAGGCAUUUUCAGUUUUUUUUUUUUUUUUUUUUUGCCAUAGACACUGUCAGCACAAUCUGCAGUUACACUAACAAAAAUGCUGCAAAAAACAAAGAAUUAUGGAAAAAUUACACAUGGACUAACAUAGAGGAGGAUCUACACAAGUUUUUUACAUCAUGUUUUACAUCAUGCAUCAUUUACAUCAUGUUUUUUUGUAGUGGCAUAAAUAAAAAGUGACAUUUGUGAGACUAUACAGUGUUUUGUAAAUAAUUUUACAAAGAAAACCUGGGCCAUUGCCUGCAUUUUGAUGUCAAUAGAGGUAAAUUACUAUGUUCUUUGUUAAAAAUUUGCAUAUGUUUUGAAGUUUACAAUUUUUAUUUGAAGUUUAAGUUUUAAAAACAGUUCAUCACACAUAUUUGUGGUUUUCACAGUAAAAACGUUACUUUUUUCCACUCGGAUUUUAUGUUUUGUGUGUGAAUUUGGGUCCAAUGUGUAAAUAUAGUAUGUCAAAAUGAUAAAAUAACUGUAAAUUGACACAGGUGAGGUUGUGCUGAAAAAAAUGAUACCAGGCAAGGCAAGGUAAAAAUUUUGUCAGAGGAAAUAUAAAGGUAAAAUCUAAAGUAGUCAAAAACGGCCAAUAGUGACUCACAGACUCCACAGACAAGUCCCUUUGGCGCCACUCAGUGGGCAAAACUACUUUGUCUACUGUAAUGUAUAUUUGGGUCAUCUUUGGCGCCCCCUAAAACGUAAACCGUGGGGUGCAGCGUCAUGAUUUUUACAACUUUGAAUGGCCAUGGAGUGUAGAUUGGCCUGAGCAAAUUUGGUGUCAGUGGGACGAAAGCCUUAGGAGGAGUUAGCGAAAUUCCAAUGUGUGCGAAUUGGAAAAAAAUGCAAAAUAGCCCUUUUACCGUACAUUAUACAGAUACGCGCUCUUUGACUUUUUCGUAGAUCUAAUUGAGAUACACAUGAUUGUCAAUUUUUGUGUCAUUUUGCCAAAGCGUACAGGCGUGACAGUCAACAAUGUGUAUUUUCACCUUAGGGGACAAGAAAAAUGGACUUUUUUCUCCUGCCAUGGGGGGGCGCUCUUUUAGGGAGUAAAAAUUCCUUCACAAAUGUGUUGAUGGCUGGACAUUGCAUCAUCCUAGAAAACUUGGAGGCCAGUGAGGACAAAAAUAAAAAGUUAUAAGACUUUUAAAUAUGUGGAUCUUAGGGUUAUCUUUGGCGCCCCCUAGAACCUAAACCGUGGGGUGCAGCGUCAUGAUUUGAAUAACUUUUAAUGGCCAUGGGGUGUAAUUUGGCCUGAGCAAAUGUGGUGCCGGUGGAACGAAAGCCUUCGGAGGAGUUAGCGAAAUUCCAAUGUGUGCGAAUCGGCAAAAAAUGCGGAAUAACCCUUUAACCGUACAUUUGACAGACACGCGCGCAUUAACUUUUUCGUAGAUCUUAUUGAGUUACAUGUGUGUGUCAAUUUUUGUGUCAUUUUGCCAAAGCGUACAGGCGUAACACUCAACAAUGUGUAUUUUCACCUUAGGGGACAAGAAAAAAUUGACUUUUUUCUCCUGCCAUGGGGGGGCGCUCUUUUGGGGAGUAAAAAUUCCUUCACAAAUGUGUUGAUGGCUGGACAUUGCAUCAUCCUAGAAAACUUGGAGGCCAGUGAGGACAAAAAUAAAAAGUUAUAAGACUUUUAAAUAUGUGGAUUUUAGUGUUAUCUUUGGCGCCCCCUAGAACCUAAACCUUGGGGUGCAGCGUCAUGAUUUUGAUAACUUUUAAUGGCCACGGGGUGUAGAUUGGCCUGAGCAAAUGUGGUGCCGGUGGAACGAAAGCCUUCGGAGGAGUUAGCGAAAUUCCAAUGUGUGCGGAUCGGCAAAAAAUGCGAAAUAACCCUUUAACCGUAAUUUUGACAGAUACGGCCGCACUGACUUUUUUGUAGAUCUUAUUGAGAUACAUAUGUGUGUCAAUUUUUGUGUCAAUAUGUCAAAGCGUACAGGCGUGACAGUCAAUAGUGUGAAUUUCCACCUUAGGGGGCGCUAUGGAGCCAUUUUGCAUUUUAUUGUUUGGGCGACUUCAGAAUAUCGAAUUUUUCACCAGGCCCGGUCGUCCUGCCAAAUUUCAUGAGUUUUCGCCAGUGGGAAGUGGGCCAUUUUCCAGUUCAAAGGGGAGGAAAAAGAAGAAAGAAAGAAAGAAAGAAAGAAAGAAACAAAGAAAAACCACUUGGGGAAUAAUAGGGCUCUCGCAGCUGCUUAGCAGCUACGCUCGGGCCCUAAAGAAAGAAACAAAGAAAAACCACUUGGGGAAUAAUAGGGCCUACGCCCGGCUGCUCUGCAGCUGGCUCGGGCCCUAAUAAUAAUAAUAACUAGGGCCCCGUUGGGGCACUGGCAAGCCCGAGCCGUGUUGCGCCGCCCCCAGCGCGACCGCCUACCCCUCCCGAUCGCGUCACACUCAAGGUCCAAAGAUGGUGUGCGCACUUGUCUGUGGUCAUUUACCAUUAUAAUGAAUGGGAGGCGCCUUUUCUACCAAAAUGCUCGCUGCAGACAAACUCCAUGUCCUUUUUGAAAAAAGUCUGGACCAUGAGUGAGGGCAUAAACACAACUAGUAUAUAUCCAAAUGGCAAGUUGCUCCUCCUUUCGGUUUUGCCGAGAGAGCGAUGCGUUUGAGCCAUUGAGCGAUGGGCAGGAAAAACUUGACUUUUUCUCCUGCCAUGGGGGGGCGCUCUUUUGGGGAGAAAAAAUUCCUUCACAAAUGUGUUGAUGGCUGGACAUUGCAUCAUCCUAGAAAACUUGGAGGCCAGUGAGGACAAAAAUAAAAAGUUAUAAGACUUUUAAAAAUGUGGAUAUUUGGGUCCUCUUUGGCGCCCCCUAGAACGUAAACCGUGGGGUGCAGCGUCAUGAUUUGUACAACUUUGAAUGGCCAUGGGGUGUAGAUUGACCUGAGCAAAUUUGAAGCCGAUGGGACAAAAGCUUUAGGAGGAGUUAGCCACAUUCCAAUGUGUGCGAAUCGGCAAAAAAUGCUAAACUAGGGCCCCGUUGGGGCACUGGCGGGCCCGAGCCGUGUCGCGCCGCCCCCAGCGCGACCGCCUACCCCUCCCGAUCGCGUCACACUCAAGGUCCAAAGAUGGUGUGCGCACUUGUCUGUGGUCAUUUACCAUUAUAAUGAAUGGGAGGCGCAGUUUCUACCAAAACGCUCGCUGCAGACAAACUCCAUGUCAUUUUUGAAAAAAGUCUGGACCAUGAGUGAGGGCACAAACACAGCUAAUAUAUAUCCAAAUGGCAAGUUGCUCCUCCUUUCCGUUUUGCCGAGAGAGCGAUGCAUUUGAGCCAUUGAGCGAUGGGCAGGAAAAACUUGACUUUUUCUCCUGCCAUGGGGGGGCGCUCUUUUGGGGAGUAAAAAUUCCCUCACAAAUGUGUUGAUGGCUGGACAUUGCAUCAUCCUAGAAAACUUGGAGGCCAGUGAGGACAAAAAUAAAAAGUUAUAAGACUUCUAAAAAUGUGGAUAUUUGGGGCCUCUUUGGCGCCCCCUAGAACAUAAACCGUGGGGUGCAGCGUCAUGAUUUGUACAACUUUGAAUGGCCAUGGGGUGUAGAUUGACCUGAGCAAAUUUGGUGUCAGUGGGAUGAAAGCCUUAGGAGGAGUUAGCCACAUUCCAAUGUGUGCGAAUCGGCAAAAAAUGCGAAAUAGCCCUUUAACCGUACAUUGAACAGAUACGCUCGCAUUGACUUUUUCAUAGAUCGUAUUGAGAUACAUGUGUGUGUCAAUUUUUGUGUCAUUUUGACAAAGCGUAAAGGCGUGACAGUCAACAAUGUGUAUUUUCGCCUUAGGAGACAAGAAAAAAUGGACUUUUUUCUCCUGCCAUUGGGGGGCGCUCUUUUGGGGAGUAAAAAUUCCUUCACAAAUGUGUUGAUGGCUGGACAUUGCAUCAUCCUAGAGAACUUGGAGGCCAGUGAGGACAAAAAUAAAAAGUUAUAAGACUUUUAAGACUGUGGAUUUUUGGGUUAUCUUUGGCGCCCCCUAGAACGUAAACCGUGGGGUGCAGCGUCAUGAUUUGUACAACUUUUAAUGGCCAUGGGGUGUAGAUUGGCCUGAGCAAAUGUGGUGCCGUUGGAACGAAAGCCUUCGGAGGAGUUAGCGAAAUUCCAAUGUGUGCGGAUCGGCAAAAAAUGCGAAAUAACCCUUUAACGGUACAUUUGACAGAUACGCCCGCACUGACUUUUUCGUAGAUCUUAUUGAGAUACAUGUGUGUGUCAAAUUUUGUGUCAAUAUGACAAAGCAUACAGGCGUGACACUCGACAAUGUGUAUUUUGACCUUUGGAGACAAGAAAAAAUGGACCUUUUUCUCCUGCCAUUGGGGGGCGCUCUUUUGGGGAGUAAAAAUUCCUUCACAAAUGUGUUGAUGGCUGGACAUUGCAUCAUCCUAGAAAACUUGGAGGGCAGUGAGGACAAAAAUAAAAAGUUAUAAGACUUUUAAGAAUGUGGAUUUUGGGUUAUCUUUGGCGCCCCCUAGAACGUAAACCGUGGGGUGCAGCGUCAUGAUUUGUACAACUUUUAAUGGCCAUGGGGGGUAGAUUGGCCUGCGCAAAUGUGGUGCCGGUCGAACGAAAGCCUUCGGAGGAGUUAGCGAAAUUCCAAUGUGUGCAGAUCUGCAAAAAAUGCAAAAUAACCCAUUAACCGUACAUUUGACAGAUACGCCCGCACUGACUUUUUUGUAGAUCUUAUUGAGAUACAUGUGUGUGUCAAUUUUUGUGUCAAUAUGACAAAGCGUACAGCCGUCAUGUGAAUUUUCACCUUAGGGGGCGCUAUGGAGCCAUUUUGCAUUUUAUUGUUUGGGCGACUUCAGAAUAUCGAAUUUUUCACCAGGCCCGGUCGUCCUGCCAAAUUUCCUGAGUUUUCGCCAGUGGGAAGUGGGCCAUUUUCCAGUUUAAAGCGGAGGAAAAAUAAUAACUAGGGCCCCGGUGGGGCACUGUCGGGCCCGAGCCGCGUCGAGCCGCCCCCAGCGCGACCGCCUCCCCCUCCCGAUCGCGUCACACUCAAGGUCCAAAGAUGGUGUGCGCACUUGUCUGUGGUCAUUUCCCAUUAUAAUGAAUGGGAGGCGCAGUUUCUACCAAAACACUCGCUGCAGACAAACUACAUGUCCUAUUUGAAAAAAGUCUGGACCAUGAGUGAGGGCACAAACACAGCUAGGAUAUAUCCAAACGGCAAGUUGCUCCUCAUUACGGUGUUGCCGGGAGAGCGAUGCGAUUGAGCCAUUGAGUGAUGGGCAGGAAAAACUUGGGGGAUGGGGGGGGGGGGGGAUGUAGAUUCUUUUAAGAAUGUGGAUAUUUGGACAUUGCAUCAUCCUAGAAAACUUGGAGGCCAGUGAGGACGAAAAUAAAAAGUUAUAAGACUUUUAAAUAUGUGGAUAUUUGUGUCAUCUUUGGCGCCCCCUAGAACGUAAACCGUGGGGUGCAGCGUCAUGAUUUGAAUAACUUUUAAUGGCCAUGGGGUGUAGAUUGGCCUGAGCAAAUUUGGUGCCGAUGGAACGAAAGCCUUCAGAGGAGUUAGCCACAUUCCAAUGUGUGCGGAUCAGCAAAAAAUGCGGAAUAACCCUUUAACCGUACAUUUGACAGAUACGCGUGCAUUGACUUUUUCGUAGAUCUUAUUGAGAUACAUGUGUGUGUCAAUUUUUGUGUCAUUUUGACAAAGCGUACAGGCGUGACACUCAACAGUGCGUAUUUUCACCUUAGGGGACAAGAAAAAAUGGACUUUUUUCUCCUGCCAUGGGGGGGCGCUCUUUUGGGGAGUAAAAAUUCCUUCACAAAUGUGUUGAUGGCUGGACAUUGCAUCGUCCAAGAAAACUUGGAGGCCAGUGAGGACAAAAAUAAAAAGUUAUAAGACUUUUAAGAAUGUGGAUAUUUGGGUCAUCUUUGGCGCCCCCUAGAACGUAAACCGUGGGGUGCAGCAUCAUGAUUUGUACAACUUUUAAUGGCCAUGGGGUGUAGAUUGGCCUGAGCAAAUUUGGUGUCGGUGGAAUGAAAGCCUUCGGAGGAGUUAGUGAAAUUCCAAUGUGUGCGGAUCGGCAAAAAAUGCAAAAUAGCCCUUUUACCGUACAUUAUACAGAUACGCGCUCUUUGACUUUUUCGUAGAUCUUAUUGAGAUACACGUGAUUGUCAAAUUUUGUGUCAAUAUGACAAAGCGUUUAGGCGUGACACUCAACAAUGUGUAUUUUCACCUUAGGGGACAAGAAAAAAUGGACUUUUUUCUACUGCCAUGGGGGGGCGCUCUUUUGGGGAGUAAAAAUUUCUUCACAAAUGUGUUGAUGGCUGGACAUUGCAUCAUCCUAGAAAACUUGGGGGCCAGUGAGGACAAAAAUAAAAAGUUAUAAGACUUUUAAGAAUGUGGCUUUUUGGGUUAUCUUUGGCGCCCCCUAGAACCUAAACCGUGGGGUGCAGCGUCAUGAUUUGUACAACUUUUAAUGGCCAUGGGGUGUAGAUUGGCCUGAGCAAAUUUGGUGCCGGUGGAAGGAAAGCCUUCGGAGGAGUUAGCGAAAUUCCAAUGUGUGCGGAUCGGCAAAAAAUGCGAAAUAGCCCUUUAACGGUACAUUUGACAGAUACGCCCGCACUGACUUUUUUGUAGAUCUUAUUGAGAUACACAUGUGUGUCAAUUUUUGUGUCAUUUUGACAAAGCGUACAGGCGUCAGGUGAGUUUUCACCAUAGGGGGCGCUAUGGAGCCAUUUUUCAUUUUUUUGUUUGGGCGACUUCAGAAUAUCGAAUUUUUCACCAGGCCCGGUCGUCCUGCCAAAUUUCCUGAGUUUUCGCCAGUGGGAAGUGGGCCAUUUUCCAGUUUAAAGCGGAGGAAAAAUAACGAAAGAAGAAUCCAUCAGGAACAAGAGGGCUCUCGCAGCUGCUUAGCAGCUACGCUCGGGCCCUAACUAGGACCCCGUUGGGGCACUGGCGGGCCCGAGCCGUGUCGCGUCCCCCCCCCAACGUGCUGCCUCCCCGUCCCAUUUGUGUCCUCUGGCCAUCGCCCUCUCUGGUAACGCCCAUCACUGCAAAGACCCUUUUCCUUCAUCGGCGUUUGCUGUUCUUCCUGCCAGUGCGUGUUGCUUUCACUUACACUUGCCACAGCCAGCCUCGUGAGUGCCUAGCCUAUUGGAUAUCACUGUCACCUACACAGAACAGUCAUUACCUUUCUAUUAAUACUUUGUGUUUUAAUUUCACAUUAAUUUCCAUAUUGUAUAAACGACUGGAAAAAACUUGAGCCCCUGCCCCUGUAUAAUCAUGUGCAUGUCUCUGUUCUAGCUCCAAGGUGAAUCUUCACUGCUCAUGUUCUCCUCAGAAGCACUCACCUCACUCCCCUCAGGUUACUGUACACAUGCACCAACUGCCUGCUUCAGGUUUGGAUGGAGCUUCAUGGUUGUCUUUUGGAGAAAUGACCAGUCAAGUUGUGUUUGAAAUUUGAUUUUUUUCAGGGGCAAAAGGAGCCUCUGCAUUCUUGUCAAAUAUGUAAAUAGCAUGUUUUUGCAGGUGCUAAAAACCAGACUCUGAGUGUGUGUGUGUGUGUGUGUGUGUGUGUGUGUGUGUGUGUGUGUGUGUGUGUGUGCGUGUGUGUGUGUCUGUGUGUGCGUUCAAGUCACAUGACAUAUUUAACCGGAUGUAGCUGCAAGACGGAGCCUCGUUGACUCUCCGUUUCAACUUAUCUCAAAAGUGAGGACCUCAACCUAUAUACCAGUUUUUAAAUUGUGUUGAUAGGCCAAAUAAAACCAGAGUUAUGAUAAAUUAUGUCCGCGAUACUUUUUUCUGCUUAUUUUGAUCACGUUCGGCGCUCGAUCGCGCUGUAUGAGACAGGAAAACAUAGCAUGCAGACAUUAGCGACAGGUCUUACAGGCGGAAAAGGCUUGCCAAAAGAAAAAAAAAACACACCACAACAUCUCUCCUAUUGGUGGAAAACUUCACCACAACAACCAAUCCAAAAUUAUAUGGUGACUGAUUGACAAGGGGCGGGUGCUUACGUUCUUCCUGCAACAUGAGAAGCGAGGGAGGGACUCUCAGCAGGGAUGCAGUCUGGGACACGUAGUUGCAAACCUAGCGACUUUGUUGUUAGAUUCAAUGACUUUUCAGACCCCCUAACGACUUUUUUUUAGAAAGAAAGGGACUUUUAUCGACUUCUUCUGGAGUUUAGAGACUCUGACAUGAAGCAGGCUUUCCUUACUGAGGAGUUAGCAACGCUGCUAAGGGUGCAGAGCCACACAUGCGCUCAGAGCUCUGCAUGGGAGACUGAAGCUGACAGAGCUGCAGCAGUUAGCAGGUUUCACCCUCAGAGACCACCAGGGGUUCAUGUUGAGGCAUUUUAAUUUUUUUUUUUUUGUGCCAUAGACACUGUCAGCACAAUCUGCAGUUACACUAACAAAAAUGCUGCAAAAAACAAAGAAUUAUGGAAAAAUUACACAUGGACUGACAUAGAGGAGGAUCUACACAAGUUUUUUACAUCAUGUUUUACAUCAUGCAUCAUUUACAUCAUGUUUUUUUGUAGUGGCAUAAAUAAAAAGUGACAUUUGUGAGACUAUACAGUGUUUUGUAAAUAAUUUUACAAAGAACGCCUGGGCCAUUGCCUGCAUUUUGAUGUAAAUAGAGGUAAAUCACUAUGUUCUUUGUUAAAAAUUUGCAUAUGUUUUGAAGUUUACAAUUUUUAUUUGAAGUUUAAGUUUUAAAAACAGUUCAUCACACAUAUUUGUGGUUUUCACAGUAAAAAUGUUACUUUUUUCCACUCGGAUUUUAUGUUUUGUGUGUGAAUUUGGGUCCAUUGUGUAAAUUCAGUAUGUCAACAUGAUAAAAUAACUGUAAAUUCGCACAGGUGAGGUUGUGCUGAAAAAAAUGAUACCAGGCAAGGCACGUGAUUGUCAAAUUUUGUGUCAAUAUGACAAAGCGUAUAGGCGUGAAUCUCAACAAUAUGUAUUUUCACCUUAGGGGACAAGAAAAAAUGGACUUUUUUCUCCUGCCAUCGGGGGGCGCUCUUUUGGGGAGUAAAAAUUCCUUCACAAAUGUGUUGAUGGCUGGACAUUGCAUCAUCCUAGAAAACUUGGAGGCCAGUGAGGACAAAAAUAAAAAGUUAUAAGACUUUUAAAUAUGUGGAUUUUAGGGUUAUCUUUGGCGCCCCCUAGAACCUAAACCGUGGGGUGCAGCGUCAUGAUUUGAAUAACUUUUAAUGGCCAUGGGGUGUAGAUUGGCCUGAGCAAAUGUGGUGCCGGUGGAACGAAAGCCUUAGGAGGAGUUAGCCACAUUCCAAUGUGUGCAGAUCGGCAAAAAAUGCGAAAUAACCCUUUAACCAUACAUUUGACAGAUACGCGCGCAUUGACUUUUUCGUAGAUCUUAUUGAGUUACAUGUGUGUGUCAAUUUUUGUGUCAUUUUGACAAAGCGUAUAGGCGUGACACUCAACAAUGUGUAUUUUCACCUUAGGGGACAAGAAAAAAUGGACUUUUUUCUCCUGCCAUGGGGGGGCGCUCUUUUGGGGAGUAAAAAUUCCUUCACAAAUGUGUUGAUGGCUGGACAUUGCAUCAUCCUAGAAAACUUGGAGGCCAGUGAGGACAAAAAUAAAAAGUUAUAAGACUUUUAAAUAUGUGGAUUUUAGUGUUAUCUUUGGCGCCCCCUAGAACCUAAACCUUGGGGUGCAGCGUCAUGAUUUUGAUAACUUUUAAUGGCCACGCGGUGUAGAUUGGCCUGAGCAAAUGUGGUGCCGGUGGAACGAAAGCCUUCGGAGGAGUUAGCGAAAUUCCAAUGUGUGCGGAUCGGCAAAAAAUGCGAAAUAACCCUUUAACCGUACAUUUGACAGAUACGCACGCAUUGACUUUUUCGUAGAUCUUAUUGAGUUACAUGUGUGUGUCAAUUUUUGUGUCAUUUUGACAAAGCGUAUAGGCGUGACAAUCAACAAUGUGUAUUUUCACCUUAGGGGACAAGAAAAAAUGGACUUUUUUCUCCUGCCAUGGGGGGGCGCUCUUUUGGGGAGUAAAAAUUCCUUCACAAAUGUGUUGAUGGCUGGACAUUGCAUCAUCCUAGAAAACUUGGAGGCCAGUGAGGACAAAAAUAAAAAGUUAUAAGACUUUUAAAUAUGUGGAUUUUAGGGUUAUCUUUGGCGCCCCCUAGAACCUAAACCUUGGGGUGCAGCGUCAUGAUUUUGAUAACUUUUAAUGGCCACGGGGUGUAGAUUGGCCUGAGCAAAUGUGGUGCCGGUGGAACAAAAGCCUUCGGAGGAGUUAGCGAAAUUCCAAAGUGUGCGGAUCGGCAAAAAAUGCGAAAUAACCCUUUAACCGUACAUUUGACAGAUACGCACGCAUUGACUUUUUCGUAGAUCUUAUUGAGUUACAUGUGUGUGUCAAUUUUUGUGUCAUUUUGACAAAGCGUAUAGGCGUGACACUCAACAAUGUGUAUUUUCACCUUAGGGGACAAGAAAAAAUGGACUUUUUUCUCCUGCCAUGGGGGGGCGCUCUUUUGGGGAGUAAAAAUUCCUUCACAAAUGUGUUGAUGGCUGGACAUUGCAUCAUCCUAGAAAACUUGGAGGCCAGUGAGGACAAAAAUAAAAAGUUAUAAGACUUUUAAAUAUGUGGAUUUUAGUGUUAUCUUUGGCGCCCCCUAGAACCUAAACCUUGGGGUGCAGCGUCAUGAUUUUGAUAACUUUUAAUGGCCACGGGGUGUAGAUUGGCCUGAGCAAAUGUGGUGCCGGUGGAACGAAAGCCUUCGGAGGAGUUAGCAAAAUUCCAAUGUGUGCGGAUCGGCAAAAAAUGCGAAAUAACCCUUUAACCGUAAUUUUGACAGAUACGGCCGCACUGACUUUUUUGUAGAUCUUAUUGAGAUACAUAUGUGUGUCAAUUUUUGUGUCAAUAUGACAAAGCGUACAGGCGUGACAAUCAAUAGUGUGAAUUUCCACCUUAGGGGGCGCUAUGGAGCCAUUUUGCAUUUUAUUGUUUGGGCGACUUCAGAAUAUCGAAUUUUUCACCAGGCCCGGUCGUCCUGCCAAAUUUCAUGAGUUUUCGCCAGUGGGAAGUGGGCCAUUUUCCAGUUCAAAGGGGAGGAAAAAGAAGAAAGAAAGAAAGAAAGAAAGAAACAAAGAAAAACCACUUGGGGAAUAAUAGGGCCUACGCCCGGCUGCUCUGCAGCUGGCUCGGGCCCUAAAUAGCCCUUUAACCGUACAUUGAACAGAUACGCUCGCAAUGACUUUUUCGUAGAUCUUAUUGAGAUACAUGUGUGUGUCAAAUUUUGUGUCAUUUUGACAAAGCGUAAAGGCGUGACAGUCAACAAUGUGUAUUUUCGCCUUAGGAGACAAGAAAAAAUGGACUUUUUUCUCCUGCCAUGGGGGGGCGCUCUUUUGGCGAGUAAAAAUUCCUUCACAAAUGUGUUGAUGGCUGGACAUUGCAUCAUCCUAGAAAACUUGGAGGCCAGUGAGGACAAAAAUAAAAAGUUAUAAGACUUUGAAAUAUGUGGAUUUUAGGGUCCUCUUUGGCGCCCCCUAGAACGUAAACCGUGGGGUGCAGCGUCAUGAUUUUUACAACUUUGAAUGGCCAUGGGGUGUAGAUUGGCCUGAGCAAAUUUGGUUUCACUGGGACGAAAGCCUUAGGAGGAGUUAGCCACAUUCCAAUGUGUGCGAAUCAGCAAAAAAUGCAAAAUAGCCCUCUAACCGUACAUUUGACAGAUACGCACCCAUUGACUUUUUCGUAGAUCUUAUUGAGAUACACGUGAUUGUCAAAUUUUGUGUCAAUAUGACAAAGCGUACAGGUGUCACACUCAACAAUGUGAAUUUUCACCUUAUGGGACAAGAAAAAAUGGACUUUUUUCUCCUGCCAUGGGGGGGGCGCUCUUUUGGGGAGUAAAAAUUCCUUCACAAAUGUGUUGAUGGCUGGACAUUGCAUCAUCCUAGAAAACUUGGAGGCCAGUGAGGACAAAAAUAAAAAGUUAUAAGACUUUUAAAAAUGUGGAUAUUUGGGUCAUCUUUGGCGCCCUCUAGAACGUAAACCGUGGGGUGCAGCGUCAUGAUUUGUACAACUUUCAAUGGCCAUGGGGUGUAGAUUGGCCUGAGCAAAUGUAGUGCCGGUGGAACGAAAGCCUUCGGAGGAGUUAGCGAAAUUCCAAUGUGUGCGGAACGGCAAAAAAUGCGAAAUAACCCUUUAACCGUACAUUUGACAGAUACGCCCGCACUGACUUUUUUGUAGAUCUUAUUGAGAUACAUGUGUGUGUCAAUUUUUGUGUCAAUAUGACAAAGCGUAUAGGCGUGACAGUCAAUAGUGUGAAUUUUCACCUUUGGGGGCGCUAUUGAGCCAUUUUGCAUUUUCUUGUUUGGGCGACUUCAGAAUAUCGAAUUUUUCACCAGGCCCGGUCGUCCUGCCAAUUUUCAUGAGUUUUCGCCAGUGGGAAGUGGGCCAUUUUCCAGUUUAAAGCGGAGGAAAAAUAAUAAUAAUAACAAACUAGGGCCCCGUUGGGGCACUGGCGGGCCCGAGCUGUGUCGCCACCCCCCCCCCCCCCCCCAACGCGCUGCCUCCCCGUCCCAUUCGCGUCCUCUGGCCAUCGUCCUCUCUGGUAACGCCCAUCACUGCAAAGACCCUUUUCCUUCAUCGGCGUUUGCUGUUCUUCCUGCCAGUGCGUGUUGCUUUCACUUACACUUGCCACAGCCAGCCUCGUGAGUGCCUAGCCUAUUGGAUAUCACUGUCACCUACACAGGACAGUCAUUACCUUUCUAUUAAUACUUUGUUUUUUAAUUUCACAUUAAUUUCCAUAUUGUAUAAACGACUGGAAAAAACUUGAGCCCCUGCCCCUGUAUAAUCAUGUGCACGUCCCUGUUCUCGCUCCAAGGUGAAUCUUCACUGCUCAUGUUCUCCUCAGAAGCAGUCACCUCACUCCCCUCAGGUUACUGUACACAUGCACCAACUGCCUGCUUCAGGUUUGGAUGGAGCUUCAUGGUUGUCUUUUGGAGAAAUGAGCAGUCAAGUUGUGUUAGAAAUUUGAUUUUUUUCAGGGGCAAAAGGAAGCCUCUGCAUUGUUGUCAAAUAUGUAAAUAGCAUGUUUUUGCAGGUGCUAAAAAACAGACUCUGAGUGUGUGUGUGUGUGUGUGUGUGUGUCUGUGUGUGUGUGUGUCUGUGUGUGUGUAUCCUGCAGUACUCUGUACUCCUGCAGUGGCCAAAACGACUUUUAAGAAUGUGGAUAUUUGGGUCAUCUUUGGCGCCCCCUAGAACGUAAACCAUGGGGUGCAGCGGCAUGAUUUUUACAACUUUGAAUGGCCAUGGGGUGUAGAUUGGCCUGAGC
RNAcentral lists this long non-coding RNA (33917 nucleotides) under Xyrichtys novacula (pearly razorfish). Lineage: Eukaryota; Metazoa; Chordata; Actinopteri; Labriformes; Labridae. The record is from RNAcentral.